GAUGAAGAACGUAGCGAAAUGCGAUAAGUAAUGCGAAUUGCAGAAUUCCAGUGAGUCAUCGAAUCUUUGAACGCACAUUGCGCCCCUUGGUAUUCCGAGGGGCAUGCCUGUUCGAGCGUCAUUAUCACCCCUCAAGCUUUGCUUGGUGUUGGGGCCUGCUGUAAUAGGCAGCCCUUAAAAUCAGUGGCGGUGCUUCAAGGCUCUAAGCGUAGUAAUUCUCCUCGCUAUAGUGUCUAGUGGUUGCCAGCCAGAACCCCCCAAUUUUCAUGAUUGACCUCGGAUCAGGUAGGGAUACCCGCUGAACUUAAGCAUAUCAAUAAGCGGAGGA
Molecule: unclassified non-coding RNA, 328 nt
Filed under: soil metagenome
Description: partial contains 5.8S ribosomal RNA, internal transcribed spacer 2, and large subunit ribosomal RNA
Rfam family: 5.8S ribosomal RNA (bases 1-121)
Source: RNAcentral